GACGAACGCUGGCGGCGUGCUUAACACAUGCAAGUCGAACGGAAAGGCCUCUUUCGGGGUGUACUCUAGUGGCGAACGGGUGAGUAACACGUGAGUAACCUGCCCUUGACUUUGGGAUAACUUCAGUAAACUGGGGCUAAUACCGGAUAGAUGCUCCUGCUGCAUGGUGGGGGGUGGAAAGUUUCGGCGGUUGGGGAUGGACUCGCGGGUUAUCUGCUUGUGGGUGGGGGAGUGGCUUACGGAGGCUUUGACGGGUAGCCGGCCUGAGAGAGUGAGCGGCCGCAUUGGGACUGAGAUACGGCGCAGACUCCUACGGGAGGCAGCAGUGGGGAAGAUUGAGCAAGGGGUGGAGGCCUGAUGCAGCAGCGCCGGGUGCGGGAGUACGGACUUCGGGUUGUACACCGGUUUCGCUCAUGACGAAGCUUUGUGUGACGGUAGUGGGUGAAGAAGCACCGGCUAACUACGUG
RNAcentral lists this ribosomal RNA (467 nucleotides) under uncultured bacterium. RNAcentral describes it as "partial 16S ribosomal RNA". It matches the Rfam family "Bacterial small subunit ribosomal RNA", at positions 28 to 507 of the family's 1533-position model. The record is from RNAcentral.